Molecule: unclassified non-coding RNA, 287 nt
Organism: Panthera pardus (leopard)
Lineage: Eukaryota; Metazoa; Chordata; Mammalia; Carnivora; Felidae
Gene: 7SK
Rfam family: 7SK RNA
About the family: 7SK was discovered as an abundant small nuclear RNA in the mid-70s but a possible function has only recently been suggested.
Source: Ensembl
GGAUCUGAGGGUGAUCUGGCUGGGACCUCUGUCACCCCACUGAUCACCGGGGCUGAUUCAGCUGAUCUGGCUAUGUAGACGGGUGCCCGCUUCCUCCCUCACCAUUCCAUGUGUGUCCCUCCAGAAGCUGCAUGCUCCAUCAAAGAGGAUGACCUUCCCCAAUAAAAGAGGACGCUCUUGGGGCCAAAAGCUACACUUUUCUGCUAGAACCUCCAAACAAGUUCUCAAGGUGCAUUUAUAGGAGUAUUAGGGCAGUCAAGCUUCCAGGACUCAUAUCUUCCUUGGGA